RNAcentral lists this ribosomal RNA (386 nucleotides) under uncultured bacterium. Its description in RNAcentral is "bacterial SSU rRNA". It matches the Rfam family "Bacterial small subunit ribosomal RNA", at positions 29 to 416 of the family's 1533-position model. The record is from RNAcentral.
AUUGAACGCUGGCGGCAUGCCUUACACAUGCAAGUCGAACGGCAGCACGGGAGCAAUCCUGGUGGCGAGUGGCGAACGGGUGAGUAAUAUAUCGGAACGUGCCCGGUCGUGGGGAUAACGUAGCGAAAGCUACGCUGAUACCGCAUACGAUCUACGGAUGAAAGCGGGGGAUCGCAAGACCUCGCGCGAUUGGAGCGGCCGAUAUCAGAUUAGGUAGUUGGUGAGGUAAAGGCUCACCAAGCCGACGAUCUGUAGCUGGUCUGAGAGGACGACCAGCCACACUGGGACUGAGACACGGCCCAGACUCCUACGGGAGGCAGCAGUGGGGAAUUUUGGACAAUGGGCGCAAGCCUGAUCCAGCCAAUGCCGCGUGCAGGAUGAAGGCC